UGGUGGAGUGAUUUGUCUGGUUAAUUCCGUUAACGAACGAGACCCCUGCCUGCUAAAUAGUCAAAUGAGUGAUUUUUCACUGAUUGUGGCUUCUUAGAGGGACGUGCAUUUCAUUAGAUGCAGGAGGAUAGGGGCAAUAACA
RNAcentral lists this ribosomal RNA (142 nucleotides) under uncultured eukaryote. RNAcentral's name for it is "partial 18S ribosomal RNA". It matches the Rfam family "Eukaryotic small subunit ribosomal RNA", at positions 1299 to 1458 of the family's 1831-position model. The record is from RNAcentral.